RNAcentral lists this ribosomal RNA (468 nucleotides) under uncultured bacterium. RNAcentral describes it as "partial 16S ribosomal RNA". It matches the Rfam family "Bacterial small subunit ribosomal RNA", at positions 28 to 507 of the family's 1533-position model. The record is from RNAcentral.
GACGAACGCUGGCGGCGUGCUUAACACAUGCAAGUCGAACGGAAAGGCCCUGCUUUUGUGGGGUGCUCGAGUGGCGAACGGGUGAGUAACACGUGAGUAACCUGCCCUUGACUUUGGGAUAACUUCAGGAAACUGGGGCUAAUACCGGAUAGGAGCUCCUGCUGCAUGGUGGGGGUUGGAAAGUUUCGGCGGUUGGGGAUGGACUCGCGGCUUAUCAGCUUGUUGGUGGGGUAGUGGCUUACCAAGGCUUUGACGGGUAGCCGGCCUGAGAGGGUGACCGGCCAAGUGGGACUGGGAAUACGGCCCGGCCCACACCGGGAGGCGGCGGGGGAGAAUGGUGCAAAGGGGGCGGAGCCCGAGGCCAGCACCGCGGGGGGGGGUGUGUCGGCCUGGGGUUAGUAUCCCACUUCCCCUUGAGCCGAGGCGUGAGUGACGUUAGUGGGAAAAGAAGCCCCGGCUAACUCCGUG